CACUAGACUCAAGAACAUGGUUCUGUGCAGUUCCUAGAAGACCACUGCAUUCUAUGAUGUCACAAAGUCCCCUGCAGCAAAGAGCUAGGUCUCCUACCAAACUGUUCUAUUAUAGCAACAACAACAACAACAACAACAACAACAACAACAACAACAACACUGACGACCAUGACAGAUGCUAACACGCUGCAGUAACUCUACCUAUGCUAAUUCCACGGUUAGGAGGAACCAGAAGGAAAGCUACAGGGUAAAACACAGCUUGGGCCAAUGUGUAAGAAGGAAAGAGGAGGAAAGAAAACACACCGCGUCAAAGCAAGCUUUCUCUUCUCCGUUUUCAAAAGGAGCGCACAAAAGCUUAGAGCCUCUGAUGGAGUUCUGGCUGCUGCUGCUGAGCCAGUUGACGUUCGUCUGUACCAUGAGUGCAUCCAGUACUUAUGCACAAAGGAUCCAGAAGGAGAAAGACGGGAAGAAUAGAGAAAGAAAAAAACAACUCUUAUUAAAAUACUCUUAAAACUAACAGUGAUUACAGAAAUAAUAAGAGAGCCCCUAAAAUAAUGAGAAGACUACACGACGUUGGUCUCUACACACCCUUUGGAUUCAAAGGAGAAGAGUCAUAUAUUUAGUGCUACCAGAAGUAAAAACAUACCUAAUUUUAUUCUCCGUAUCAUCACUGUCCGAUUCUUCAGAGCUUCUGUACUUAUCUGGAUCUGGAAGUGUACUUGGAUCAAAUCCAUCAUCAUCAUCAUCAUUACUCCAAUCCAGAAAAGCUUCCUCUUCAUCUCUGGCCUAAGAAAACACAAGGGAAAUUGUGGUUUAAGAAAACAGCUGAUGAAUAAUCAAGUCUUAUUUCUAGACCCAAAUAAAUACUUCUCUAAUUAA
Molecule: long non-coding RNA, 879 nt
Organism: Neofelis nebulosa (Clouded leopard)
Lineage: Eukaryota; Metazoa; Chordata; Mammalia; Carnivora; Felidae
Exons: 2
Source: RefSeq, a predicted model, not a curated record